Molecule: ribosomal RNA, 958 nt
Filed under: uncultured bacterium
Lineage: Bacteria
Description: bacterial SSU rRNA
Rfam family: Bacterial small subunit ribosomal RNA
Source: RNAcentral
GAUGAACGCUGGCGGCGUGCCUAACACAUGCAAUUCGAGCGAUUCUCUUCGGAGAAGAGCGGCGGACGGGUGAGUAACGCGUGGGUAACCUGCCCUGUACACACGGAUAACAUACCGAAAGGUAUGCUAAUACGGGAUAACAUGAGAGAGUCACAUGGCUUUCUUAUCAAAGCUUUUGCGGUACAGGAUGGACCCGCGUCUGAUUAGCUAGUUGGUAAGGUAACGGCUUACCAAGGCGACGAUCAGUAGCCGACCUGAGAGGGUGAUCGGCCACAUUGGAACUGAGACACGGUCCAAACUCCUACGGGAGGCAGCAGUGGGGAAUAUUGCACAAUGGGCGAAAGCCUGAUGCAGCAACGCCGCGUGAGCGAUGAAGGCCUUCGGGUCGUAAAGCUCUGUCCUCAAGGAAGAUAAUGACGGUACUUGAGGAGGAAGCCCCGGCUAACUACGUGCCAGCAGCCGCGGUAAUACGUAGGGGGCUAGCGUUAACCGGAAUUACUGGGCGUAAAGGGUGCGUAGGUGGUUUCUUAAGUCAGAGGUGAAAGGCUACGGCUCAACCGUAGUAAGCCUUUGAAACUGAGAAACUUGAGUGCAGGAGAGGAGAGUAGAAUUCCUAGUGUAGCGGUGAAAUGCGUAGAUAUUAGGAGGAAUACCAGUUGCGAAGGCGGCUCUCUGGACUGUAACUGACACUGAGGCACGAAAGCGUGGGGAGCAAACAGGAUUAGAUACCCUGGUAGUCCACGCCGUAAACGAUGAGUACUAGCUGUCGGAGGUUACCCCCUUUCGGUGGCGCAGCUAACGCAUUAAGUACUCCGUCUGGGGAAGUACGCUCGCAAGAGUGAAACUCAAAGGAAUUGACCGGGGACCCGCACAAGUAGCGGAGCAUGUGGUUUAUUUCAAAAGCACCGCGAAGAACCUUUACCUAAGCUUGACAUCCUUUUGACCGAUGCCUAAUCGC